GAUGAACGCUGGCGGCGUGCUUAACACAUGCAAGUCGAACGGAAAGGCUCCUGCUUGCAGGGGUACUCGAGUGGCGAACGGGUGAGUAACACGUGGGUGAUCUGCCCUGCACUUCGGGAUAAGCCUGGGAAACCGGGUCUAAUACCGGAUAGGACGAUGGUUUGGAUGCCAUUGUGGAAAGUUUUUCGGUGUGGGAUGAGCUCGCGGCCUAUCAGCUUGUUGGUGGGGUAAUGGCCUACCAAGGCGUCGACGGGUAGCCGGCCUGAGAGGGUGUACGGCCACAUUGGGACUGAGAUACGGCCCAGACUCCUACGGGAGGCAGCAGUGGGGAAUAUUGCACAAUGGGCGCAAGCCUGAUGCAGCGACGCCGCGUGGGGGAUGACGGCCUUCGGGUUGUAAACUCCUUUCGCUAGGGACGAAGCGCAAGUGACGGUACCUGGAGAAGAAGCACCGGCUAACUACGUG
RNAcentral lists this ribosomal RNA (465 nucleotides) under uncultured bacterium. RNAcentral describes it as "partial 16S ribosomal RNA". It matches the Rfam family "Bacterial small subunit ribosomal RNA", at positions 28 to 507 of the family's 1533-position model. The record is from RNAcentral.